Dermacentor andersoni is the source of this 334-nucleotide long non-coding RNA. RefSeq lists it as uncharacterized. The record is from RefSeq and is a predicted model, not a curated record. NCBI's taxonomy places the organism in Eukaryota, Metazoa, Arthropoda, Arachnida, Ixodida, Ixodidae.
CCAUGCCCUGCCACCACUGGGACCCUGCUUUAGGGGACCAAUGAGAGAGACAGCGUGUCAGGGCUACAAUUCAGCUAGGGACCAAGUACAAAGCAGGAAGUUAUUACAAGAACCAGCACGCGUAAAAAAGAAAAUCUUCCACAACGUUGAUUACGCAUUUUCAUCAUUAUAUUCUGGCAAACUGUCAAAGCAAAGUACGAAGCCUGCAAGGCAUUUCAGCCACAAGGAGCGACUCCAUUUUGUUGAGCAUGUACAAGUAACAAUGGUAAACUUCAACAAUCUUCAAGCAUUUCAAUCUGUUUCAGAUGUGUUGGCAGUAAAAUGUGAACCAGUG